AUGUUUUCUUUUUAUAAAAGUAAGUGUUUUUGGUCUCAUUUGAUUAUGUGGUGCUUGGUUCCUGUUGUCUGGAUUUUUCAGUGUUUAUUGUAUUUUUUUCCACUCUUGCAAUCAAAGGAGAGAGAGCUUUUAGAAGCAGCUGAGUUAGAUGUAAAUAGGCCAUAUCACCUAGGCCCCUCUAAAUAUCAGUCGUCUGAACAUGAAAAAGAAGAGCAGGAGGGAAAAGAAAAGGAGGAUCAGAGUAACAUUACCUGGGAGCAACGGUACGAGAAAAUCUGGGUUGAAAUUGAGAAAAAGGAGACAAAAUCCCAGUACAAGAAUGUGGCUGCUGAGCUAAAAGAAAGAUUUGGAGAGAUAGAGCAGAAUGAACGGUGUGAGUCUACCAGAGAUGUAGAGUUGGAAGAAGAAGAGAGUAAAGAAGCAAAGAAAGAGAUGGAGAGUGAAACAGCGGUUCCUGAGAGUGCAUCAGAAGAAGAUUCUAGUGAGGAUGAGGGAGAGCCAAUUGUACGUCCGGCUGCCCGAGCCAGAACUGUUAGACUGGUAACGAUCCCUGAACAAAGAGAGUCUGGUGUGGAGGAGUCCUGCUCAGAAGAACCUAAAGGAGCAUCCUGCCACAUCCCCACUGAUGAAGAUGACAGCGAGGCAGAUCUUCCUCAUGAUGACUUCACCAAUGACGAAGACAUUCAGCAACCUUCUCCAGAGCUCCUUAAAGAAACAGAACGCAAUGACCAAGCGUGCAAACACACUGCAAAUCCUUCCAUUGAAGCAAAUGAAAAUGAAGCAAAUACUGGCUUGCCUGUGACAUGUGACCUGGCAAAAGAACAGUUAACAGAAGAAGCUAUGAGUAGCCCAGUCCGUUUUGUUAGUGAGCUGAAGAUCCCUUUCUCAAAAUCAGAAGCACAGUCCUCCAACUCAGAGGAAGAGGUUGAGGAGGGCCGACAGAAGUGCAUAAGUGAGGUAGGGAAUUGGAGAGCUGCAUGCUUGGAGUUAAAAAAGGACAAUGCAAUUCAGAUGCUUUGUAGAGGAGUCGUCACAUCAUUUGUCUCUCUCUCUCUCUCUUUUUCCAUUACUUUACUAAUUCUGUAUCACUCUUGUCGCUUAAAGACCUGCUAA
Molecule: long non-coding RNA, 1113 nt
Filed under: Astyanax mexicanus (Mexican tetra)
Lineage: Eukaryota; Metazoa; Chordata; Actinopteri; Characiformes; Acestrorhamphidae
Description: lncRNA (ENSAMXG00005025008.1)
Source: RNAcentral